Molecule: ribosomal RNA, 468 nt
Filed under: uncultured bacterium
Lineage: Bacteria
Description: partial 16S ribosomal RNA
Rfam family: Bacterial small subunit ribosomal RNA
Source: RNAcentral
GACGAACGCUGGCGGCGUGCUUAACACAUGCAAGUCGAACGGAAAGGCCAUGCUUUUGUGGGGUGCUCGAGUGGCGCACGGGUGAGUAACACGUGAGUAACCUGCCCUUGUCUUUGGGAUAACUUCAGGAAACUGGGGCUAAUACCGGAUAGGAGCUCCUGCUGCAUGGUGGGGGUUGGUAAGUUUCGGCGGUUGGGGCUGGAAUCGCGGGUUCUCCGCUUGUUGGUGGGGUAGUGGCGUACCAAGGCUUUGACGGGUAGCCGGCCUGGGAGGUGGGCCGGCCACAUUAGGACUGAGAUACGGCCCAGACUCCUACGGGAGGCAGCAGUGGGGAAUAUUGCACAAUGGGCGGAAGCCAGAGGCAGCAACGCCGCGUGCGGGAUGACGGCCUUCGGGUUGUAAACCGCUUUCGCCUGAGACGAAGCGUGAGUGACGGUAAUGGGUAAAGAAGCACCGGCUAACUACGUG